UCCCUCCCUCUUGCACCGGGUUCUGUGUCUAGUGUCAGUAGCUCCCAGCCCAAGGCGCAUGCUCCGAAAUCCCAGUCUCAGCCCCUGCUGCUGUUGCUGCUGUUUGGUUGCUUUUGCUUUGGCUGUCGGGGCUCAGUUUAACAAGAGAGAGAGGGAAAAAGAGAGAAAGAGAGAAGAGAGAGAGAAAGAGAGAGAGAGAGAGAGAAAGAAAGAUAGCGAGAGAGAGAGGGAGAGAGACACGGAAAGGGGAGGUGGGGGGGGGAAGACAGAGAAUGUCCGCCAUCUACCCUCUUCUCCUGGGCGCACUCUCAUUCAUAUCAGCUUCUUCAUGAAUUACAGCUGAGAAGGGGAGGGUGGGGGCGGGGGGAGUCGGGGUACCAAAAAACACCCCAGCAAACCUCCGGGCCCCCAGGCAUGGCCAGCUCGGUAAGUACAUGCAAAAAAAAAUCUUCUUUCCUCCUCCUUCACCCAGCGCUGCUGCUGCUGCUGCUGCCCAGACACCGCUCCGUGGUUCCAAUUAGAGAAAGCAGCCGCCUGCAGCAGCCGGGAGCAGAGUGUGUACAGUACAGGGCGGACUCUCAGCAGUAGCGGCACCGGAGGCGGGCGCCGCAGUCGCCGCUAGGAUGUGUGCUGUUCAGGUGAAGCUGGAGCUAGGGCAUCGAGCCCAGGUUAGGAAGAAACCCACUGUGGAGGGUUUUACCCACGAUUGGAUGGUGUUUGUUCGCGGACCCGAGCACAGUAACAUUCAGCACUUUGUGGAGAAAGUCGUCUUUCACUUGCAUGAAAGCUUUCCUAGGCCAAAAAGAGGU
Non-coding RNA from Phascolarctos cinereus (koala), 809 nucleotides. The record is from RefSeq and is a predicted model, not a curated record. NCBI's taxonomy places the organism in Eukaryota, Metazoa, Chordata, Mammalia, Diprotodontia, Phascolarctidae.